UUGUCACCUGGAGUUCUCCUCAAUCUACUUCAGUAGCUACACACGUUUCAUGGCAAUGUCUACAUGUUUGUGUGCAUGGGGCCGGAGUUGUGUACAUACUGAAGUGUUUGGGGGAACUCUGGGUGGCAA
Molecule: microRNA precursor, 129 nt
Filed under: Dichanthelium oligosanthes
Lineage: Eukaryota; Viridiplantae; Streptophyta; Magnoliopsida; Poales; Poaceae
Description: mir-395 microRNA precursor family
Rfam family: mir-395 microRNA precursor family
About the family: mir-395 was identified in both Arabidopsis thaliana and Oryza sativa computationally and was later experimentally verified. mir-395 is thought to target mRNAs coding for ATP sulphurylases. The mature sequence is excised from the 3' arm of the hairpin.
Source: Rfam by way of RNAcentral